This 563-nucleotide ribosomal RNA is filed under the name Micromonospora sp. 415B06. RNAcentral describes it as "bacterial SSU rRNA". It matches the Rfam family "Bacterial small subunit ribosomal RNA", at positions 93 to 671 of the family's 1533-position model. RNAcentral also lists the same sequence under 3 other names. Lineage: Bacteria; Bacillati; Actinomycetota; Actinomycetes; Micromonosporales; Micromonosporaceae. The record is from RNAcentral.
GAGCGGCGAACGGGUGAGUAACACGUGAGCAACCUGCCCUAGGCUUUGGGAUAACCCCGGGAAACCGGGGCUAAUACCGAAUAGGACCUGACAUCGCAUGGUGUUGGGUGGAAAGUUUUUCGGCCUGGGAUGGGCUCGCGGCCUAUCAGCUUGUUGGUGGGGUGAUGGCCUACCAAGGCGACGACGGGUAGCCGGCCUGAGAGGGCGACCGGCCACACUGGGACUGAGACACGGCCCAGACUCCUACGGGAGGCAGCAGUGGGGAAUAUUGCACAAUGGGCGGAAGCCUGAUGCAGCGACGCCGCGUGAGGGAUGACGGCCUUCGGGUUGUAAACCUCUUUCAGCAGGGACGAAGCGCAAGUGACGGUACCUGCAGAAGAAGCGCCGGCCAACUACGUGCCAGCAGCCGCGGUAAGACGUAGGGCGCGAGCGUUGUCCGGAUUUAUUGGGCGUAAAGAGCUCGUAGGCGGCUUGUCGCGUCGACUGUGAAAACCCGCAGCUCAACUGCGGGCCUGCAGUCGAUACGGGCAGGCUAGAGUUCGGUAGGGGAGACUGGAAUUCCU